GGAGCUCUCCCAUAUGGUCGACCUGCAGGCGGCCGCGAAUUCACUAGUGAUUGUUUGAUCCUGGCUCAGGAUGAACGCUAGCGACAGGCCUAACACAUGCAAGUCGAGGGGUAUAAGUAGCUUGCUACUUAGAGACCGGCGCACGGGUGAGUAACGCGUAUGCAACCUACCUUUUACUGGGGGAUAGCCCAAAGAAAUUUGGAUUAAUACCGCAUAAUAUAUUUGAAUCGCAUGGUUUAAAUAUUAAAACUUCGGUGGUAAAAGAUGGGCAUGCGUAGCAUUAGUUUGUUGGUGAGGUAACGGCUCACCAAGACUAUGAUGCUUAGGGGGUCUGAGAGGAUAGUCCCCCACACUGGUACUGAGACACGGACCAGACUCCUACGGGAGGCAGCAGUGAGGAAUAUUGGUCAAUGGGCGCAAGCCUGAACCAGCCAUGUCGCGUGCAGGAUGACGGCCCUAUGGGUUGUAAACUGCUUUUUUACAGGAAUAAACUUUGCUACGUGUAGCAAACUGAAGGUACUGUAAGAAUAAGGAUCGGCUAACUCCGUGCCAGCAGCCGCGGUAAUACGGAGGAUCCAAGCGUUAUCCGGAUUUAUUGGGUUUAAAGGGUCCGUAGGCGGGCUUUUAAGUCAGUGGUGAAAUCCCAGAGCUCAACUCUGGAACUGCCAUUGAUACUGAAGGUCUUGAAUUUAGUUGAGGUGGGCGGAAUACGUUAUGUAGCGGUGAAAUGCAUAGAUAUAACGUAGAACACCGAUUGCGAAGGCAGCUCACUAAGCUAACAUUGACGCUGAUGGACGAAAGCGUGGGGAGCGAACAGGAUUAGAUACCCUGGUAGUCCACGCCGUAAACGAUGAUUACUCGUUGUGCACGAUACACUGUGCGUGACUGAGCGAAAGCAUUAAGUAAUCCACCUGGGGAGUACGUUCGCAAGAAUGAAACUC
Molecule: ribosomal RNA, 941 nt
Filed under: Bacteroidales bacterium
Lineage: Bacteria; Pseudomonadati; Bacteroidota; Bacteroidia; Bacteroidales
Description: bacterial SSU rRNA
Rfam family: Bacterial small subunit ribosomal RNA
Source: RNAcentral